UCUGUCAAGUCGGAUGUGAAAUCCCCGGGCUCAACCUGGGAACUGCAUUCGAAACUGGCAGGCUUGAGUCUUGUAGAGGGGGGUAGAAUUCCAGGUGUAGCGGUGAAAUGCGUAGAGAUCUGGAGGAAUACCGGUGGCGAAGGCGGCCCCCUGGACAAAGACUGACGCUCAGGUGCGAAAGCGUGGGGAGCAAACAGGAUUAGAUACCCUGGUAGUCCACGCCGUAAACGAUGUCUACUUGGAGGUUGUGCCCUUGAGGCGUGGCUUCCGGAGCUAACGCGUUAAGUAGACCGCCUGGGGAGUACGGCCGCAAGGUUAAAACUCAAAUGAAUUGACGGGGGCCCGCACAAGCGGUGGAGCAUGUGGUUUAAUUCGAUGCAACGCGAAGAACC
This 392-nucleotide ribosomal RNA is filed under the name Salmonella enterica. RNAcentral describes it as "bacterial SSU rRNA". It matches the Rfam family "Bacterial small subunit ribosomal RNA", at positions 579 to 970 of the family's 1533-position model. The record is from RNAcentral. RNAcentral also lists the same sequence under 2 other names. Lineage: Bacteria; Pseudomonadati; Pseudomonadota; Gammaproteobacteria; Enterobacterales; Enterobacteriaceae.